This 2535-nucleotide ribosomal RNA is filed under the name Listeria monocytogenes. RNAcentral describes it as "partial 23S ribosomal RNA". It matches the Rfam family "Bacterial large subunit ribosomal RNA", at positions 394 to 2925 of the family's 2925-position model. Lineage: Bacteria; Bacillati; Bacillota; Bacilli; Caryophanales; Listeriaceae. The record is from RNAcentral.
CUCCAGAGUGGAUCCUGAGUACGGCGGAACACGUGAAAUUCCGUCGGAAUCCGGGAGGACCAUCUCCCAAGGCUAAAUACUCCCUAGUGACCGAUAGUGAACCAGUACCGUGAGGGAAAGGUGAAAAGCACCCCGGAAGGGGAGUGAAACAGUUCCUGAAACCGUGUGCCUACAAGUAGUUAGAGCCCGUUAAUGGGUGAUAGCGUGCCUUUUGUAGAAUGAACCGGCGAGUUACGAUUUGUUGCAAGGUUAAGCGGAAAAAGCGGAGCCGUAGCGAAAGCGAGUCUGAAUAGGGCGCAUAAGUAACAGGUCGUAGACCCGAAACCAGGUGAUCUACCCAUGUCCAGGAUGAAGGUAAGGUAAUACUUACUGGAGGUCCGAACCCACGCACGUUGAAAAGUGCGGGGAUGAGGUGUGGGUAGCGGAGAAAUUCCAAUCGAACUUGGAGAUAGCUGGUUCUCUCCGAAAUAGCUUUAGGGCUAGCCUCGAGGUAAAGAGUCAUGGAGGUAGAGCACUGUUUGGACUAGGGGCCCUUCUCGGGUUACCGAAUUCAGAUAAACUCCGAAUGCCAUGUACUUAUACUCGGGAGUCAGACUGCGAGUGAUAAGAUCCGUAGUCGAAAGGGAAACAGCCCAGACCACCAGUUAAGGUCCCCAAAUAUAUGUUAAGUGGAAAAGGAUGUGGGGUUGCUUAGACAACCAGGAUGUUGGCUUAGAAGCAGCCACCAUUGAAAGAGUGCGUAAUAGCUCACUGGUCGAGUGACCCCGCGCCGAAAAUGUACCGGGGCUAAACAUAUUACCGAAACUGUGGAUGAACCUCUUUAGAGGUUCGUGGUAGGAGAGCGUUCUAAGGGCGGUGAAGUCAGACCGGAAGGACUGGUGGAGCGCUUAGAAGUGAGAAUGCCGGUAUGAGUAGCGAAAGAAGGGUGAGAAUCCCUUCCACCGAAUAUCUAAGGUUUCCUGAGGAAGGCUCGUCCGCUCAGGGUUAGUCGGGACCUAAGCCGAGGCCGAUAGGCGUAGGCGAUGGACAACAGGUAGAGAUUCCUGUACCAGUGCUAAUUGUUUAACCGAUGGGGUGACACAGAAGGAUAGGGAAUCGCACGAAUGGAAAUGUGCGUCCAAGCAGUGAGUGUGAGAAGUAGGCAAAUCCGCUUCUCGCGAAGCAUGAGCUGUGAUGGGGAAGGAAAUUAAGUACGGAAGUUCCUGAUUUCACGCUGUCAAGAAAAGCCUCUAGGAAGAGUAGUACUGCCCGUACCGCAAACCGACACAGGUAGAUGAGGAGAGAAUCCUAAGGUGAGCGAGAGAACUCUCGUUAAGGAACUCGGCAAAAUGACCCCGUAACUUCGGGAGAAGGGGUGCUCUAUUAGGGUGCAAGCCCGAGAGAGCCGCAGUGAAUAGGCCCAGGCGACUGUUUAGCAAAAACACAGGUCUCUGCAAAACCGUAAGGUGACGUAUAGGGGCUGACGCCUGCCCGGUGCUGGAAGGUUAAGAGGAGUGCUUAGCUUCGGCGAAGGUACGAAUUGAAGCCCCAGUAAACGGCGGCCGUAACUAUAACGGUCCUAAGGUAGCGAAAUUCCUUGUCGGGUAAGUUCCGACCCGCACGAAAGGCGCAACGAUCUGGGCACUGUCUCAACGAGAGACUCGGUGAAAUUAUAGUACCUGUGAAGAUGCAGGUUACCCGCGACAGGACGGAAAGACCCCGUGGAGCUUUACUGCAACCUGAUAUGGAAUGUUUGUACCGCUUGUACAGGAUAGGUAGGAGCCGAAGAGACGUGUGCGCUAGCAUACGAGGAGGCAAUGGUGGGAUACUACCCUGGCUGUAUGACCAUUCUAACCCGCCACGCUUAGCGCGUGGGGAGACAGUGUCAGGUGGGCAGUUUGACUGGGGCGGUCGCCUCCUAAAGAGUAACGGAGGCGCCCAAAGGUUCCCUCAGAAUGGAUGGAAAUCAUUCGCAGAGUGUAAAGGCACAAGGGAGCUUGACUGCGAGACUGACAAGUCGAGCAGGGACGAAAGUCGGGCUUAGUGAUCCGGUGGUUCCGCAUGGAAGGGCCAUCGCUCAACGGAUAAAAGCUACCCCGGGGAUAACAGGCUUAUCUCCCCCAAGAGUCCACAUCGACGGGGAGGUUUGGCACCUCGAUGUCGGCUCGUCGCAUCCUGGGGCUGUAGUCGGUCCCAAGGGUUGGGCUGUUCGCCCAUUAAAGCGGCACGCGAGCUGGGUUCAGAACGUCGUGAGACAGUUCGGUCCCUAUCCGUCGCGGGCGCAGGAAAUUUGAGAGGAGCUGUCCUUAGUACGAGAGGACCGGGAUGGACACACCGCUGGUGUACCAGUUGUUCCGCCAGGAGCAUCGCUGGGUAGCUAUGUGUGGCAGGGAUAAACGCUGAAAGCAUCUAAGCGUGAAGCCCCCCUCAAGAUGAGAUUUCCCAUUUCUUCGGAAAGUAAGAUCCCUGAAAGAUGAUCAGGUAGAUAGGUUUGGAGUGGAAGUGUAGCGAUACAUGGAGCGGACAAAUACUAAUCGAUCGAGGACUUAACCAAAA